GGGGAUAUAGCUCAGCAGUAGAGUCCCUACCUAGUAUGCACAAGGCCCUAGGUUCAAUCCCCAGUGUCCCCC
This 72-nucleotide transfer RNA is filed under the name Heterocephalus glaber (naked mole-rat). It matches the Rfam family "tRNA". From Rfam's summary of the family: Transfer RNA (tRNA) molecules are approximately 80 nucleotides in length. Their secondary structure includes four short double-helical elements and three loops (D, anti-codon, and T loops). Lineage: Eukaryota; Metazoa; Chordata; Mammalia; Rodentia; Bathyergidae. The record is from Rfam by way of RNAcentral.